GAUGAACGCUGGCGGCGUGCCUAAUACAUGCAAGUCGAGCGAACAGACGAGGAGCUUGCUCCUCUGACGUUAGCGGCGGACGGGUGAGUAACACGUGGAUAACCUACCUAUAAGACUGGGAUAACUUCGGGAAACCGGAGCUAAUACCGGAUAAUAUAUUGAACCGCAUGGUUCAAUAGUGAAAGACGGUUUUGCUGUCACUUAUAGAUGGAUCCGCGCCGCAUUAGCCAGUUGGUAAGGUAACGGCUUACCAAGGCAACGAUGCGUAGCCGACCUGAGAGGGUGAUCGGCCACACUGGAACUGAGACACGGUCCAGGCUCCUACGGGAGGCAGCAGUAGGGAAUCUUCCGCAAUGGGCGAAAGCCUGACGGAGCAACGCCGCGUGAGUGAUGAAGGUCUUCGGAUCGUAAAACUCUGUUAUUAGGGAAGAACAAAUGUGUAAGUAACUAUGCACGUCUUGACGGUACCUAAUCAGAAAGCCACGGCUAACUACGUG
Molecule: ribosomal RNA, 497 nt
Filed under: uncultured bacterium
Lineage: Bacteria
Description: partial 16S ribosomal RNA
Rfam family: Bacterial small subunit ribosomal RNA
Source: RNAcentral